This 253-nucleotide ribosomal RNA is filed under the name uncultured bacterium. Its description in RNAcentral is "partial 16S ribosomal RNA". It matches the Rfam family "Bacterial small subunit ribosomal RNA", at positions 524 to 776 of the family's 1533-position model. The record is from RNAcentral.
UACGUAGGGGGCAAGCGUUGUCCGGAUUUAUUGGGCGUAAAGAGCGUGUAGGCGGCUAGAUAGGUCCGUUGUGAAAACUCGAGGCUCAACCUCGAGACGCCGGUGGAAACCAUCUAGCUAGAGUCCGGAAGAGGAGAGUGGAAUUCCUGGUGUAGCGGUGAAAUGCGUAGAUAUUCGCAAGAACACCAGUGGCGAAGGCGGCUCACUGGCCCGGUACUGACGCUGAGGUGCGAAAGCGUGGGGAGCAAACAGG